AGACCUCUAUUGUGAAACAAUUUAAGAGGUAUUAUAAUUGGUUACUAAAGGACUUGACCCUAUUGAAUGGGAUGUUAGAUUGGUAAUUAAAUAAAGAAGAGAAGUCUUCUCAAAGAAAAAGAAAUUCGUAGGAAUCCAUCUCUCCUACAACCUCACCUCAAUUUCCUUGGUAUUUAAUGGAAAUUGACUUGGAAAAGAUAGGGGGACCACUUGAUAAGGAAAGAAACUCAUUCUCCAUGGGAAAAGACUAUGAGAGUCACUUCAAAAUUCGGAUUCAGCCGUUUACGUAGAUUUCCAACCUUUUCUUUCAUCUUCUCUAGAAGAAACAAUGUUGGAAACUUGGUGGGGUCUAUGAGGGUGAUGGGUGGCCAAAGUUUCCAUGGAAAAUUAGGCCAAAGACUAAGGGAAACUUCAAUGAAACUUCCCAUCAAUUUACACUCUCCUUCCCCAUCCUUUUUCUUACGCAUAUUGCCUGCUGUAUUUUACACGGCAGUUUCCAGCUUUCCCUUUUCCUCCUCUUAGUUUAUUCUUCUUCCUUGUCUUUUUCAACGUACAAGCCGUUGUUUUCUUUUCCUUGAACGUUAUACUUCCAUUUCUGCUCCCUCUUGAACGACCAAACUCCAUACUUAGUUUCCUCUACCGAAAAAUUUAUAAGUUUGUGUGUUGCCGUUGCCAUCAUACCACUUCACAAUCUUCUGCGGCUUCGACUCAACACCAUCACCAAGAGGAUCAAGGCUGGUCUCUGUGUUGCUGUUCAACCACCAACGAGAGCCGCCGUUAGCUGUGUUUAGGUUCUUAAAUGGAGGAAGGCCGGAUCGUGUACAGUCGGUCGCAGUAAAGGAGGAAUAGGACUCUCGCUAUCUCCUUCCAAGUGAUGACGGGUUUUCCGUCAAGACUGGAUGUAGGGUGAUAGCUCACCCCGAGAUAUUGAGAAGUAUGGUAUUGUAAUAGUAAACCCCAGUUUUAUAAAUAGAAGCUUAGUUAGUGGUUAAUCGAAUAGCUUCACUUUUGUAUCAAACCUUGGGGUGUUAAACUGGUCUAUUUACAUAGAUACGAUAAUGUUGUAGUUGUGGUUUGUGAAAAAUAAUAUCCUACGUUUCUAUCCCACUGUUUUGUUGUA
Eucalyptus grandis is the source of this 1120-nucleotide long non-coding RNA. RefSeq lists it as uncharacterized. Lineage: Eukaryota; Viridiplantae; Streptophyta; Magnoliopsida; Myrtales; Myrtaceae. The record is from RefSeq and is a predicted model, not a curated record. The transcript has 2 exons.